GAAGCGCGCCAGGCCGUCGCUGGCACUGCCUCGCAAGAGGACCCGAAAGGGGGUGCUGGAGGAACGUCCGGACUGCACAGGACAGCGUAGGAGGUAACACCUCUCCACCGACAAGCCCGGCGAGUUCGCUCGACGGGCCCUAAGGUGAGGAUCAGAGCAACAGAGACGAGCCGAUUCAGUUCGGGUGAAACGGGCAAUCUCUACGCGCAGCAAUACCAAAUAGGCCAGCCUGAGGCGACAUGGUUCGCCGUGUUGACGAUCCUCGUGGUUCCGCGAGGAGAGCUGGCGGGUAGGUAGCACCGAGCCGGGUGGGCAACCCCCGGCCCAGAUGAAUGGCGGUCACAUCCGGGCCUUCGCAAGAGGGUUCCGGAUGCACAGAAUCCGGCGUAACGGCGCGCUUCACAC
RNAcentral lists this RNase P RNA (405 nucleotides) under Hydrogenophaga sp. RNAcentral's name for it is "RNase P RNA component class A". It matches the Rfam family "Bacterial RNase P class A". From Rfam's summary of the family: Ribonuclease P (RNase P) is a ubiquitous endoribonuclease, found in archaea, bacteria and eukarya as well as chloroplasts and mitochondria. Its best characterised activity is the generation of mature 5'-ends of tRNAs by cleaving the 5'-leader elements of precursor-tRNAs. The record is from RNAcentral. Lineage: Bacteria; Pseudomonadati; Pseudomonadota; Betaproteobacteria; Burkholderiales; Comamonadaceae.